This is a long non-coding RNA of Oryzias latipes (Japanese medaka), 1581 nucleotides long. RefSeq lists it as uncharacterized. The record is from RefSeq and is a predicted model, not a curated record. NCBI's taxonomy places the organism in Eukaryota, Metazoa, Chordata, Actinopteri, Beloniformes, Adrianichthyidae.
CUGCCUAGUGGUUGGUAUCGCUUCUCGGCCUUUUGGCUAAGAUCAAGUGUAGUAUCUGUUCUUAUCAGUUUAAUAUCUGAUACGUCCCCUACCCGGGGACCAUAUAUUAAAUUGAUUUUUGGAACAGGGAGAUGGAAUAGGGGCUUGCUCCGUCCACUCCACGCAUCGACCUGGUAUUGCAGUACCUCCAGGAACGGUGCACCCCCCCCUUCUCUGUCAAAAGCAAAUAUGAUAUUAAAUAUCGUUCUCACAAGUAUUUAGUUGUUAGUUUGCAAAUGGGCUUAAUCAUGUGCUGUAGAUAGUGUUGUGUAGGUGUUGCUCAAUGUGUGUUGUAACAGGUUCAACUUUUCACAUGAUGUUUAGCUUCUUGAGGAGGAUUAUUUUUAAAGGUUGACUUUUAUUUAAUGUAUUUAAAUGUAUGCAUUCCAGGUAUUUUUCUUAAUCCCCUUUUGUGUAUUUUUAUAGAAUGCUUUAGAAUGUACGUUUGGUACGAUUUUACAGUUAUAAAUACAAUAGGGUUGCAUUACUGGACAAUUCAAUAGGAAAAGAAUUAUCUGUCGACCACUCAAUGUGUGGCACUUUACUUUUAUGAGAUGUUUGAAGAUUGCUGAUCAAAUGGAGAAUGCGCUUCCCUGUGUUUUUUUUCCUUUCUUCAGGUAAACGUUCAGGAGGUGAUGUGAAGCACCAAUGCUACAAGUGUAACACUGAGGGGAAGAAAAGACUGUUCUAGCCAUUGUUUUUUAAAUCUGUCAUGCAUUGGUGGUUCAGUGGUAGAAUUCUCGCCUGCCACGCGGGAGGCCCGGGUUCGAUUCCCGGCCAAUGCAAGCAUCUCUUUUUCUCAUACCUAAAAACAAUCUCAAAUAGUCAAAUAUUUAUUUUACAAUAUGAUCAGAUAAAUUGUUAUGGAAUUAAUUAUGAAGUCUUACAGAUAUUUCAGAAUGAAGCCAAGUUGUGUCUGGUGUGAUUGGUUAGUGUGUCCGACUGCUAACUUUUACUAUUACAAUUUAACAAAAAUAGGAAUUUCAGAACUGCAAAGAUUUACACAGAUCAGAUAAAUUAAGACAGUCUUUUGAAAACAUCUUGCAUUUUAAAAUAAUAAAACUGAUUGAGUUUAUAAUUGUACCUUUUGUUUUUUUUUCUUCUUCCUGAGAUAUUUUGAAAACCCCAAGCUUGAGAGUGAAACGUCCGAUCACAGUCCAGAGAUGAACAGGAAUCAACGGACAUCUUGAUGAUGCUGCACGGUAUCACUGACGGGAACUCCUGAUGCACCUGCAGCUCCUCUCCACUCAUCCAGUCUGGAUUUAAGACCAGCGUUUCCAGCCUUUUCCUACAAGUCUGUCAGCUAACUUCCAUAGAUUCCCUCCUGGAUCAUCCUCGUUUUCUUUGGGACAGCAGUGACUCCUCACCACAUCACUCCUCCUCUUUGACCACGACAGAAUCAGGAGGAACCACUCAUUACAGCAGCCAGUAGCAUAAUAAAAAAUGUAAUAAUAAAUAACAUAAAAUGUUGUGUUUAUUGAAGGAAAAUAUCCCCCAUUUUGAAAUGUUGUUUGGAACAAACAAAGAUUUACAUUACUUUAA